UACGUAGGUGGCAAGCGUUGUUCGGAUUUAUUGGGUUUAAAGGGUGCGUAGGCGGUCUAUUAAGUCAGCGGUGAAAUACUCCAGCUUAACUGGAGGGGUGCCAUUGAUACUGAUGGACUUGAGUCAAGUCGAGGUAGGCGGAAUUGACGGUGUAGCGGUGAAAUGCUUAGAUAUCGUCAAGAACACCAAUAGUGAAGACAGCUUACUGGGCUUAAACUGACGCUGAGGCACGAAAGUGUGGGGAUCAAACAGG
Molecule: ribosomal RNA, 253 nt
Filed under: uncultured bacterium
Lineage: Bacteria
Description: partial 16S ribosomal RNA
Rfam family: Bacterial small subunit ribosomal RNA
Source: RNAcentral